AUGAACGCUGGCGGCGUGCCUAAUACAUGCAAGUCGCGCGAACAGACGAGGAACUUGCUCCUCUGACGUUAGCGGCGGACGGGUGAGUAACACGUGGAUAACCUACCUAUAAGACUGGGAUAACUUCGGGAAACCGGAGCUAAUACCGGAUAAUAUAUUGAACCGCAUGGUUCAAUAGUGAAAGACGGUUUUGCUGUCACUUAUAGAUGGAUCCGCGCCGCAUUAGCUAGUUGGUAAGGUAACGGCUUACCAAGGCAACGAUGCGUAGCCGACCUGAGAGGGUGAUCGGCCACACUGGAACUGAGACACGGUCCAGACUCCUACGGGAGGCAGCAGUAGGGAAUCUUCCGCAAUGGGCGAAAGCCUGACGGAGCAACGCCGCGUGAGUGAUGAAGGUCUUCGGAUCGUAAAACUCUGUUAUUAGGGAAGAAUAAAUGUGUAAGUAACUAUGCACGUCUUGACGGUACCUAAUCAGAAAGCCACGGCUAACUACGUG
This 496-nucleotide ribosomal RNA is filed under the name uncultured bacterium. RNAcentral describes it as "partial 16S ribosomal RNA". It matches the Rfam family "Bacterial small subunit ribosomal RNA", at positions 29 to 507 of the family's 1533-position model. The record is from RNAcentral.